This 253-nucleotide ribosomal RNA is filed under the name uncultured bacterium. RNAcentral's name for it is "partial 16S ribosomal RNA". It matches the Rfam family "Bacterial small subunit ribosomal RNA", at positions 524 to 776 of the family's 1533-position model. The record is from RNAcentral.
UACGUAGGGUGCGAGCGUUAAUCGGAAUUACUGGGCGUAAAGCGUGCGCAGGCGGUAAGUUAAGUCUGAUGUGAAAGCCCCCGGCUCAACUGGGGAGGGUCAUUCGAUACUGAUCGACUCGAAGGCAGGAGAGGGUAGUGGAAUUCCCGGUGUAGUGGUGAAAUGCGUAGAUAUCGGGAGGAACACCAGUGGCGAAGGCGACUACCUGGCCUGUUCUUGACGCUGAGGCGCGAAAGCUAGGGGAGCAAACGGG